CACGUAGGGCGCGAGCGUUGUCCGGAAUUAUUGGGCGUAGAGAGCUCGUAGGCGGCCUGUUGCGUCCGCUGUGAAAGCCCGGGGCUUAACCCCGGGUCGGCAGUGGAUACGGGCAGGCUAGAGGUAGGUAGGGGAGAAUGGAAUUCCCGGUGUAGCGGUGAAAUGCGCAGAUAUCGGGAGGAACACCGGUGGCGAAGGCGGUUCUCUGGGCCUUACCUGACGCUGAGGAGCGAAAGCGUGGGGAGCGAACAGG
RNAcentral lists this ribosomal RNA (253 nucleotides) under uncultured bacterium. RNAcentral describes it as "partial 16S ribosomal RNA". It matches the Rfam family "Bacterial small subunit ribosomal RNA", at positions 524 to 776 of the family's 1533-position model. The record is from RNAcentral.